AAAAAAAAAAAAAUCCCCCAGGCAGCAGUUGAAUCAUAAAUAAUACCCAAAUCAAUGAGGAAGAAGAGAGAAUUGUGGCUGUAGUGUUCAUACAGUUAUGUGAUUUGGGUAGCAAGUAACAGAAAACUUACACUGGCUGAAAGAAAAAGCCUAUUGUCUCAGCAGGAUGCCCCAAGUUAGGGAGAAUAAGGGUCUCCGUGAUUAUUAAGGACCCAGUUCUGUUCUUCAUGUAUUCCUUCAGAAUUUAAGUAUGGAUUCCAACCAUGCAUCAGGCACUGGGCGAGGCAAUGCCUGCCUAGUAUGCUGGCUUUUUCAUCACGCCAGCUUUCCUCAAGGACACAAGAUGGCGCCCUUGAUCCGGGCAUCACAUCCAGAUUCAGUUUCAUUCACAAGGAGGGAAGGCAGCCCUUUCUCGUUUUCCCUGACGUCUCCUAGCUAGCCUCUCCUCUCCUAUUAUUGGCCAGAAUUGUGUCACGUGUCCCCCACUUCAGCCAGUCAGUAGGCAGGAAACAGCAAUUGGCCUAAAGAAGCAGAUGGCAAUAUGGAGGAAGGAAGUAAUCCCAGCCAGGCCUGGGUUCUGUGAGAAACAGGAUGUGGGAAUUGAUAUUGCCUAGGCAACCAGUAGCAUCUACUACAGUCCUUUUUGCAGAUGUCCACCCUCCACGCCAACAUUGUCACCAAGAAUGGCUGUGGUUCAUUCUGGGUCUGUGAAGAGGUCACUUCUCUAGGGGCAGACAGGAUGGGCCUGCCUGCCAGCAAAAUCAAAACACCCUCCCAACUCAAAGAGACCCAGUAACGUCUAAGAGGUGGUCAUAGAAUCUGGAGAAACAUGGAAAUGGAGACCAAAAGAGGGAAGGAGGGAUGCCAUCAGACGACACUGGGAUCCCGGAAGACGGAACACUGUGUGCUAGUGGCAAAGUGUCCUCCAUGGGCUCAGCACUUUACAGACGUCACCUCACGUAACCCAUGCCACAAUUGGGAGAAAGCACGAUUGCCACGGUACCCACGAGGAACCAGAGAGGAAAAGGAGCUGUCCAGGACCACGGGGCUGGCUGGUUGGUGGAGGAGGCAGGAAAGCCCCGCAAAAAGGUAGGCCUGGGCCAGACAGGGUUUGAGAAUUCAGGCCCCAAGGGGCGGGGAGGAAGAAGACCAGGUCCCUGUACAAGAAUGGCCUGAGAGUGUUUAAAAGAUGGAGUGGCCCAGGUCAGGGGAGGAGAGCAGACAAAAGUGGCUGGCCAGGGCUGGCAUUUGCUUUUAGCCCAAUGCUAAGAUCAACAGAUGCUUCUGGGGGUCAGGAUGGGGCAGAAAUGAGUGGAGACUUCAAGGCAGAGGUUAGGAAACAGGACAGGACACUCGGCCCAAAUGAUAGUGCCAUCACUCCACAUCCCAGAGUUCAUGAGCUCUCUCAGUGUUUGUUUUAUUUAAACCUCCAAGAGUCAAAUGCCACUCACCAUCCAUGUGUGGACCAGUCUCCAGCUUUCCACCUCUGCUGAGAGUGAGGGUAGAGGAGCACCGUGUCUCUAACCCCUUCUAUGGUCAGGGAGCUCCCUCCAGGUCACCUGGUCACAGGCACCAUGAUUUAGAAAGUGCUGAAGCCAGAUCACCUGGGUUCAACCCCCUCCCCCAUCACAGCCUAGCAGCUGAUGGUUAACUCUGGCGAAUUUUCUUUUUCUUCUUUGUGCUCCUCUGUAUUUCUAAUUUUUCCACAAUGAACAUGCAUCACUUCUGUUUUUAAGAACUUUUCAAAAGGGAUUUCAACCUCUGACCACCUGGAGACAGACGACUGGCACUCUUUGUAAAUGCACUGACAUGACAGGGAACAGCUGCUGGGGAGGUGGAGACGGUGCAGGGAGAGACAGGAAGCCCCAGAGGCUUGGAAAUCCAGGAGCCACAGGAAGCAGUGAGCUUUGUGCAGAGCUAGAUCUGGUGGAGCCAAUUCACCAGCAGGUCCUGGCAGUGACUCUUCUACAACGGAUUCCCGCCUGUCCCUGUGCCCCAUUGCCCCCCUGCCAUCAAUCUCCGCCUCAUGGGAGGUGGACCAAGCCUUUCUGUGUGUAGCUCACCCCUCUCCCUGCUCAGAACUCACCUAGUGGCUUCCACGGCAUUUUCUCUUCUUUUUUUUUAAAGCGAUGGGACCUUGCUCUGUUGCCCAGGGUGGGGGGCAGUGGUAUGAUCAUGGCUCACUGCAGCUCACCCCUGGGCUCAAGUGAUCCUCCUGCCUCAGCCUCUCAAGUAGCUGGGACUACAGUUGUGCACCACCACAUCCAGCCAAUUAUUAUUUUUUGUAGACAUGGGAUCUCAUUAUGUUGCCUAGGCUGGUCUCGAACUCCUGGCCUCAAGCAAUCUUCUCACCUCAGUCUCCCUAAUUGCUGGAAUUAUAGGUAUGAGCCAUCCCGCCAGGCUUCCAUGGCAUUUCUAACAGUAUCCUUGAAGAACCUGCGUGAAUCCCUUUCCCACUGUCUAUCUGCACUGUCCCUGUCCUGUGCUAACCCUGCUCAGACACACUGGCUGUCUUUCUGGUCCUCCCACAGGCUAACCAAGGCCCCACCCCAGGGCCUUUCCACUUAGGGUUUUGCCUCUACCUAAAUACCCUACAUCGAUGCUGUCCAUAGAAAUAUGUAAUAAUGGGAGCCUCAUGUGCAAUUGGAAAUUUUCUAGCAGUAACAGAGGAAAUUAAAUUUAAUAUAUUUUAUUUCACCUAAUAGAUCCAAAAUAGUAUCAUUUCAAUAUGUAAUCAAUAUUAAAAAAUUCCUAAUGAGA
Callithrix jacchus (white-tufted-ear marmoset) is the source of this 2760-nucleotide non-coding RNA. The record is from RefSeq and is a predicted model, not a curated record. Lineage: Eukaryota; Metazoa; Chordata; Mammalia; Primates; Cebidae.